GCCCCUUCGGCCCUCCAGGGAAAUCAAAAUUGUAAUAUCAGUUUGCUUUUUAUUGGCUCGGCUCUGCGAUCUCGGCGGCUGCGUCUUUGUUAUGGUCUCCGGCGCGGUGACAUUCAGCGGAGCCUCCGCGGUGCCCUCGCACCUCCGGGCCGGGAAGGGCCCCCGAAGGCCGCCGGCUGCCGCCGCCGGGGCCGCCCCGCCGGGGGGCGGCGGCUCGGGGAGCCCGCGGGCACGGAGAGGGUGGCACCGAGCUGCGGGCGGGGGGCACGGGGACCCUCCCCGGGGCGCUCCCGGCCCGGGGGCGGCUCCGGCCGCGGCUGCCGGCCGCUUGGCAGCGGAGCCGCUUCGGGCCCCGGCGCCGCUCGGGCUCAGCCCCUCCGCUCCCGCACCCCGGGGAAAGUUGCUGGGGGCGCCGCGCUCCGCCGCCGCGGGCACCGUGGGCAGCGCCGGCACAGCCCUGGGGGGCCGCCGCCGCCGCCCACCCCGGCCCCGGUAGUCGGCCACGCCGCCGGGCUGCCUAGAACCGGGGGCCGAGCCCCGCCGGGCCGGGGCCGGGGGCUGCCCGGCGGCUCCUCUCGGCGGCCCCCACCCCGGCAGCGCCGCCCGGGAGGGGCCCCACGCGUGUCUUGCCCCGCGCGGUGCCGUGGCGCAGGGAAGGCCCGGAGCCGCCGCGCUCCACCUGCCCGGGGAAGGCCGCCCGCGGCGCACGGAGCGCUCCAGGCAGGGGCCGCGGCACCGACACGCGGGGGCCAGGGCUGCCCUGCGCGGCGGGACACACGCAGGGCCACGCGUGCCGUUCCACGCCCCCCCCAACCCGCCACGCUGCGCUCUUCUGAACCCGCUCACGCCAGCGGUGGCAGCGUGGAGCCGCCCCGGGCUGUCCGCGGAGGACCCCUCGGGAUGUGCCCCCGCCCCGCAGGGACCCUCGGAGCAGCAGCACCCGGCGUGGGGUGGGAUCGUCCUCCCCCUCCGGCCCCGCGACCGCUCCCUCGCCCCCGGCUCCCGUUGCGGGCCGGGACCCCCGGGACGAGGCGGCGAGCCCCGAGCCCGGGUCGGGGGGGUACGGAGGGGAGGGUGCUGCCGCCCCCGGGCACAUGGGCAGCCCGCGGCGUGGAGGGGCGCGAAGCCUUCCCGGGGGCUCGUCCCCCACGCGGAGACCCCCGACCACCGGCCGGGUGGGUUGGGUGCCCUUAUCCCGGACCCCUCCGGUGCCCCCCCCGGCCCCGGCCCGCCCCCCCCGGGCUGCGCGGGGCGCGCACCUGCCCCGCGGGCUCUGCCGCCCCCCGCCGGCCGCGGGGCCCGUGGGGGCCGUGCUGA
RNAcentral lists this long non-coding RNA (1317 nucleotides) under Cairina moschata (Muscovy duck). RNAcentral describes it as "domestica (muscovy Duck (domestic type)) lncRNA (ENSCMMG00000012853.1)". Lineage: Eukaryota; Metazoa; Chordata; Aves; Anseriformes; Anatidae. The record is from RNAcentral.